UAAAAGUCAGGCCAAUUUGGCUGGUCCUAAGGAGACAGGGCAACGUUCCUCUCUAGCCCUUGAAGAUCUUCAAGCCAGUAAUUGUCUUGACUCUGGGUGAUUCUAGAACAAAAACAGAAUUUUACCCCAUUCUGAUCCAGCUGGAGCAAGCACAGAACUUUGGAACCAGACCUAUCUCAUCUUACUUACUCAUGCCCGUGUGUAAGACCAGAAUGACUCCUUUUCUAUGAAAAUGUACCGGCUGAGGAACCAGGCUCAAACCCCACAUUCCACAUCCUGUGGAAGUCCAAAGCCCUGCUGGGAUUUCCGGGAGUCCCAGGCAACUUCCGUUCUUGUGAUCGCCUCCGGCUCCUGGCUUCUGUUUCUGGGCUGCUGCCUCAGUUCUACACUGUUUCAACCCAAAUGGGAAAUGUGGACCCUUCCUCGAUUAUCACCAAAAACCUUAUUCAUAAUACUCCUGCACCAUUGUAGAAAAUAUCACGGAAGCUAGAGGAGGGGUGGAGUAAAGGAAUAGUUCCUCACAUUACUGAGGUACAAAAUCCUCAAACUGUAUACUGAUUCAUCCUGCAUCUUAAAAUAUUCUUCAGCCAUCUCCUCUCCAACAAGGAAAGUUGGUGGUCUUCAUGGGAGCGAGUCCUCAGUCUCACUCCAUCUCGAAGUUUCCUCCCUCCCCUUCCGUCCUCGCGCCUCUUUUUCACUCCUCAGAUUACCUCUGGGAAUCCCAAAUCUUAGAAAUCCGUUAUACAGGGUCAUUUGAUUCCCCAGCAAAACUUGUCCCCUGAGGGGUGCACUUCAAAUUCAGCUCCAGGAGUUCAGCAUUUUUAUCUUUUGGGAAGAUAAAAGAAAAAUACUUUUCCCUUGUGUUAAAAAUGGCAACAUUCAUUGAACUCUUACAAUAAUAAAUAGUAAUAUUGAUAAAGAAUUGACUCUGUGCCAGGCACGGUGCAUUUUAUGUGCCUUAUCCCAUUUAAAAAUCAAAAUAUCAUCAGGUGUUGGCGCUGUCCCUCCACCCCACCCAGGCCUAGGGUAGCCGGUCCAGCUCCCAGCUGGCUGAACCCAUCACAACCCACCUGGCCAAUCCACUCUGAGUUUCAGCCUGCAAAUGUCCACCAGCUCGGGGGCUUUGCUGCUUUUGCUUUUCACCAGGUCAUUCACCUAACCCAGGAUUUUUUAACUUUGGCACUCUUGCCAUUUGGAGCCAGGAAAUCCUUUGUUUUGGGGGCUGUCCUGUGCAUUGCAGGAGGUGAUGCUAGGUUAAGAGAAGCUUGUUAUUUUUAAUGGCAUUCCCUGGAAGAAUAUAAACCCAGCAACCUUUUAAAAAAAUUUAUUUAUUUAUUUAUGCUAGUUCAUAGAAAAUCAAAAGUCUGAGAACCUUUGGCCCCAGCUCUGAAAAUCUGUAAUUUGGAGUAUGUUUUUGAAGGAAGAACUUGUACUUAGCCUGCCUGCUGACCUUUUAAUGAGUUUUAAAUAACGUCAUUGAUUAAGCUGCCCCAACAGCCUUCCUGUGAAGUAUUCACCUCAAGAGUAAAGGCAGUUGAAUGCUGGAAGAUGAGAUGCAUGCAAGACUAGCAUUCUCACCAACUAGGAAGAGGCGUGGAUCACUUCAGCUCCGAAACUCUGAAUCCUUUCUGGUGACCAUCAAAUAGGAUGAGAAAGCCAAAGCAUGUGAAUAUGGAAAGUUUAUAUAAAUUCAUGGUCUUCGUUCUCAUUUGGAACCUCAAGACAACCCAGACAUUUUUCUCCAUCACCCGAGCCAGCAUCAACUUGAUACCCAGACUCACUCAUUUGGUUCAGAACUCAGGUACAGAAGAGGAGUCUUACUGAUUGAUCUCUAAACAUCUCUACAUUAUUUUUCACCCCUAAGUGAUUAAACAUUACUGAAA
Equus caballus (horse) is the source of this 1883-nucleotide long non-coding RNA. RefSeq lists it as uncharacterized. The record is from RefSeq and is a predicted model, not a curated record. NCBI's taxonomy places the organism in Eukaryota, Metazoa, Chordata, Mammalia, Perissodactyla, Equidae.